This 84-nucleotide transfer RNA is filed under the name Rhodopirellula sp. Its description in RNAcentral is "tRNA-Leu". It matches the Rfam family "tRNA". Rfam says of the family: Transfer RNA (tRNA) molecules are approximately 80 nucleotides in length. RNAcentral also lists the same sequence under 4 other names. The record is from RNAcentral. Lineage: Bacteria; Pseudomonadati; Planctomycetota; Planctomycetia; Pirellulales; Pirellulaceae.
GCGGGAAUGGCGGAAUUGGCAGACGCGCUAGGUUGAGGGCCUAGUGGCCGCAAGGCCGUGCAGGUUCAAGUCCUGUUUCCCGCA